Molecule: long non-coding RNA, 1608 nt
Organism: Papaver somniferum (opium poppy)
Lineage: Eukaryota; Viridiplantae; Streptophyta; Magnoliopsida; Ranunculales; Papaveraceae
Exons: 7
Source: RefSeq, a predicted model, not a curated record
UCUUUUUCUUCUCAGUUUCUUCCGUCGAUCUCUCUUCUCUUUUACCUUCUCUUUUUCUUCCAAUGAUGUUUGUAUCUGCUUGUCUUGUAUAAAGAGAGACAUAAAGUAGAAAUUAGGGUUUCAAUAAGUUUGUAUCUCCUUGUCCUGUACAAAGAGAGACAGAAAGUAGAAAUUAGGGUUUCAAUAGAUUGAGGGAUUCUGGAGAAAUUAGGGUUUCAGUAGGGAUUUCGGUGAAAAGGGUAUUGGAUCCUCUUCAAUUCAAGAUAUAAGAAAUGGGUGUUGUGAUCGAUAGAUUUUGAUACUACGAAGAACAUAAGAUUAGAAUUCAUAUUUUUGGUGCUCAUUCAUGGCCAGAAAGAGAUAAAGAAUUGAAGAUUCAAUAGGUAUUUCUGCUGGUGAUUGAGUUAUAAAUAUGGACUCAAUUGAUUUUAGGGGUUUGAACUGAUUUGAAUUCAGCAAUUGACGAUGAUUUAGGGUUUGUAGAAGAAGGUUCUGUGGUCGAUUUAAGAGAAUAAGAAUCGGUAGAUUAGGUUUGGAAUUUGGUCAUUCUCAGGCUCAGGAUGGAGAAGAUAUAAAUGAAGUCAUGGGUUAAGUUGAUUUGUAGGUUCCAAUUGGAGGAAACUAGAGGCUUAUUGAUGUCCCAACAAUUGCAUCAACAGUGGCAUAAACAAGAUAUUUGUCUUUACUCAGUUAAUUAUGCUUCCCUCAACCGUCUCCUCGCUCGCACAUAUAAUUUAGGGUUCUAGAUCCAUGCUACAUAUUGCCAGUGGAGAAUAAGUGGUAGGGGAUGAGGCAUCCUGACCAGAUGUGAUACAUGUUCACCGGAAAUGCAUCGAGUGGAAGUUCCUAAUACACCAUAUCAAACUGGGAAACCUUUGGGUGGUACUCUUGGUUAUGGCUCAGUUGGUAGGUGGUCCCUAUCAAAUGGGUUUCAUUCCUGGCCGUACAAUGUCUCACCCCCUUGCACCUACACCUGCGCAAAGGCCUUUUAUACCUGCAAGUAAUAACACUACACUAGGAUUUUCUCAAAGACCUGCAAUGAGUGUUUGAAUGCAAGCUCCAAGUCGCUGCUCAGCCAUUGUAGGUAGAUUCAUCUUCAACACCUGCAACUCCACCUCUUACAGUUCAGAUGGUUGAUACGUCAAAACUUCCUGCUCCUCAGAGACCUGUGUCAUCAGCAUAAUAUUUGUUGUGCAAAGAAUCUACUUUGCACAACAGGAGUCAACCACAAGUUUCCAACUAGUUUCAGAAGCUUGUCCUCUCAUUAUGGCUUGCAGUACUUAAGAUCAAGACGAGGCAAAGUGUGAGAUGAAGGUAGAAGGUAACCAUUAUAGUAGCUCGUUUUCAGUCCGCGUUAUCUCCACAUUCAGUAGGUCGUGAGCUAGGACGUACAAUGAACAAUGACUGGGAUUGUGUUCUUGAAGUUACUUGAAGUUGGAAGAAAGAAUGUGGGUUACAAUCCUAGUACGUUUCCACAAUGCUAGAAAAAAGAUAAAGAUCUUGUUAGCUUUGUAAGUUUCUAAAUAGUAUCUUCUCAUAGUGACUUACAAAAAUUUGUGAACUUAAGAAGUUUUCUAUGUAUCUAUGAACUUAAGAAAUUUUCUAUGC